Malaya genurostris is the source of this 3210-nucleotide RNA transcript. It is a transcript of the gene named protein aubergine, with no coding region annotated. The record is from RefSeq and is a predicted model, not a curated record. The transcript is spliced from 7 exons. Lineage: Eukaryota; Metazoa; Arthropoda; Insecta; Diptera; Culicidae.
CGAACAAGCUUCACGUAUUCCGCGUACCGGACUGCGUGUGCACGACGCAAGCACAUUUUUGUCCGGUGUGAAAAUUAUUGCAAAGUGCUAUUUUCCGGCAAAAUCGUACUAACUAAUCGAAAAAGAACCUGAAAAAGUUAGUCCAGAAAAGGUAUGGCAGAUCGUCAAACACAAGCACGCGCCAGAGCGCGCGGCUACGCGGCUGUGAAUAUUUCCCAUGAAGGACGUGAGGGAAGAGGUCAGGCUCCAGUUCGCGGAAGUGGUAUUGGUAUAUCGGGACAAGGACCUCGUCCCGCAUGGGGUCAACCAGGAGCUGGCGAGGGUCGUGCGAUGGUUCAUCGAGACUCGAGUGCAGGUCGCAGUGAAACAAUGCGGGCAGGACGUGGUGAAACGAUGCGAGCAGGACGUGGUGAAGCGAUGCGAGAAGGGCGUGGCGAAGCGAUGCGAGAAGGACGUAGUGAAGCAAUGCGCGAAGGCCGGCCAGGCGACGGAAAUGGAAAUGGAACUGGAACUAGCAACAGUGGAGGAACCACCACAAGCCGAGGAGCGAUGCGUGGUCGACGAAACAUUGGCGACACUCUUCGAACCCGUGCUCUGGAUGCCCCCUCGAAACAUGGAAGCACUGGAUCCGCCUUGCAGUUACACAGCAACUAUUUCAAACUGCUUAAGCACAUUGAAUGGACUUUGUAUCAAUAUCGCAUUGAUUUCUCUCCCCAAUGUGCUAGUUCUCGUCUAAUGCAGGGGUUAGUCAAUGAGCAUAAAAAAAUCUUUGGUGGUUUUCUGUUCGAUGGUACUCAAUUGUUUAUGGUAAACAAACUGAGAAGCGAUCAAUUGACCCUGCAAUCACGCCACGAGCGAACUGGAGACAUCUAUCAGCUACGAAUUGUACACACGGGAACCGUUGACAUGACUAAUGAAACCGGUAUUCAGGUAUUGAACUUGAUUCUUCGACGGGCUAUGGCUGGUUUGAACUUACAGCUUGUGGGACGAAAUUUGUUUGAUGCCGCAGCAAAAAUCGCCAUCCGCGAGUAUCAGAUCGAAUUGUGGCCUGGGUACAUUACCAGUAUUCGCCAACACGAAGCCGACAUUUUGGUGUGUUGUGAAAUUGCACAUAAAACUAUGAGAAUGCAAACCUGUUACGAUAUUCUACGCGACUGUCAGAAGCACGAUCGCAACUAUAAGGAUUCGUUCAAACGAGCCGUUCUGGGUGUUGUCGUACUCACCGGUUAUAACAACAAAACGUACACAAUUAAUGACGUAACAUUUGAGACGACUCCGGAGAGCACAUUCGACACUAAGAAUGGCAAAACUUCGUUUUUGGAGUACUACAAAACCAAGUACAACAUCCGUAUUCGUGAUCCACAUCAGCCUAUGCUGCUAUCCCGCGCCAAAAAACGUGACCUACGUGCCGGAGGAAAUGAGCUUAUGGCUUUGGUUCCUGAACUUUGUCAGAUGACUGGAUUAACUGAUCAAAUGAGAUCUGAUUUCAGAAUGAUGCGUGCUAUGGCUGACCACACUCGUUUGAAUCCGGACCGACGUAUCGAACGAUUAGAGACAUUCAAUCGUCGACUGCAGACGUCCCCAGAAAGCUGUGAGGUUUUUAAAACCUGGCAGAUGGAGCUGGAUAGGCGUUUAGUCGAACUUCCCGGUCGAUUGCUUCCACAGGAAAUGAUUUUCUUCUCAACUACUGCAAAUGGUGUACAAGCGGGUGAGCAGGCUGAUUGGACGGCCCAUUUCCGUAACAAUCCCAUGUUUGCUACCGUUCGUCUGUUCCGCUGGUAUCUGGUCGUUCCAAAUCGAGCUACGCGCGAAGCAAACGAUUUUCUUGGUUGCAUGAUACAGGCUGCUCGAGGAAUGCGCUUUGAAAUCAGCAACUGCGAACUGGUUCCUAUUCCAGAUGAUAACCCCGGUACGUACGUACGUACACUGGACAAUAUUCUGAACAAAGACCCUCAGAUGAUUAUGUGCGUGGUGUCCAAUAACAAAGCCGACCGGUAUACCGCCAUCAAGAAAAAGUGUUGCGUCGAUCGGGCCAUUCCUACACAGGUUAUGGUUCAGAAAACAAUCACACCAAAAGGAGGCAAUGUAAGAACACUAAUGUCCGUCGCAACUAAAGUCGUUAUUCAAAUGAAUUGCAAACUUGGUGGAGUACCUUGGAAAGUGAAAAUUCCAUUAAACGGUUUAAUGACAAUUGGGUUCGAUGUGUGUCACGAUGCCAAGGAUAAAACAAAAUCUUUCGGAGCGAUGGUUGCCACGUUAGAUCAUGACAACAAGGGUACACCCAAAUUCUUUUCCACCGUAAGUCAGCACACGCAUGGAGAAGAAAUCUCCAACUACCUUCCGAUCAACACCGUGAAAGCGUUAAAUGAGUACCGUAAGGAAUUCGGAGAGCUUCCCAAACGUAUAAUUUUCUAUCGAGACGGUGUCGGCGAAGGACAGUUGCACUAUAUUUACGAACACGAAGUAAAGUCCAUAGUCGAUAAACUUAACCAGAUCUACAAAUCCGCAGGAGUUGAUCAGGAUGUUUUACUUACCUUCUUUAUUGUGAAUAAGCGUAUCAAUACGCGAUUCUUCGAUCACCGACAAAAUCCUAAACCCGGAACCGUAGUUGACGACAUCGUAACCCUUCCUGAAAGGACUGAUUUUUACUUGGUUUCGCAAUCGGUACGGCAAGGUACCGUUUCACCGACCGCGUACAACGUUAUCUAUGACACAUCCGGUUUGAAGAUUGAUCAUUUACAAAUGCUUUCGUACAAACAGUGUCAUUUAUACUAUAACUGGUCUGGCACAACUCGGGUUCCGGCGGUGUGUCAGUACGCACAUAAAUUGUCCUUCCUGGUGGCCCAGUUUCUGCAUCAAGCACCGAGCAAUCUUCUGGAGAAGAAGUUGUAUUUCCUGUAAAUCAGCCUGAACGAAAAUGUGGUGAGUGCGCGAUAUUUGACAUUUCAAUCACACGAAAAACCAAACGUAACCCAUGAAGGAACUAAAUUACGCUACGUUAUACUUCUUAUUCGAUCCUAAAGAAAGUCCCCCCUGAAUACGCGCACUCGAUCGUUGGCGAGACAUUUGUUUUAUCUCUAUAAGAAAGAAAUACUAUACUACUAAUAAUUUACAGUACAUAUAUCACAUAACAUAUUACUUGUAAUAUUCAAUCUUGAUGGAUAAUUGAUGGUUCACAAAUGGUUUAAUAAAUAAAUGAUGACAACUCAA